This 1212-nucleotide long non-coding RNA is filed under the name Anas platyrhynchos platyrhynchos (common mallard). RNAcentral's name for it is "lncRNA (ENSAPLG00000028181.1)". Lineage: Eukaryota; Metazoa; Chordata; Aves; Anseriformes; Anatidae. The record is from RNAcentral.
UUUUAGAAGCCUACAGAUGGAAAGAGCGGCUUUCUAAAUAUACUGGAAACAAACUAGAGCUGAGUUGGUGACGGCGUUUGCUGAGGAGCGUUUGGAGCCUGCAGAGAGGGACCUGAACCCGGCAAAGCCUCUGUGGGGUCAGAUCCUCUCCCAAGAGCCGGGCGCUGUUCUCGUUGCAGUUAACCACAAGGUAGGGUUUCAAGUGACCGACCUGCUGGUCCUUGUGCUUAGCUUGGGGAUUUCAUGCAUGAGUUUGGCUAAAUCACCACAGCCCCCCUACUCUGCAGCCCUGAGUGUGAUUCCCUGGUGCUCUGUGAGCACCCAGCUACCGGCUAACCACCAGGCUGGCCUCAACUGGCUCUUCUUUGUGCUCCUGCAGCACAGAGAAUGAAUCUCGUGCAGGAAGUUCUCUGGAAACCAAGGCAGUUUUGUUUUGACACCGCUCUGGGAGUACAAGACAAGAAGCGGGCAGCAGGAGCUGGGCGCAAUGGGACUUUCCUUUCCCUGGGCCUUGUGGCAUGGAGGGGUGAGCGCUGAGGAGCCUGGUGGGGUCCCCACAUCCCCAGCCACCUUCCUCGGCCCUUCCUCGCCUCAGGCCCGAAUGGAGGCAGGGGCAGGGCUGGAAGAGGAGGACGAGAUACGAGGUGUGGGGGGGGGGGCAGCCCCACCUCGGGCUGCGUGACGCGGGUUGCCAUGGCCACCCCGUUUACGCUACAAGGCCCGGCGGGGGCGGGCAGGCGGGCGGGGCCGCUUCAGCACCAGGGCGGCCGCGGACAGCAGCGGCCCCGGCUCGGCGGCGCCUCUCCCGCUGCGGGCUGCGCGGCUGCGGCGCCGGGGCCCUGCUCCGAGCCGGCUCCGGAGGUGGGGGGGGAGCCCUCACGGUCAGUCCCGGUCCCGGUUCUCAGCCCCGACACCGCCCGGCAGCACGGCCCCGGAGAACCAGGGGUACCGGGAGGUACCGGGGGGUACCCGGGGGGGCUCCUCCGGGCGGUGGCGGCGCCGGGAAAGUUUGGGAAGCUCGGAGCUCGGAGCCCGGAGUGGGGCCUCGGUGAGGACACGGCGAGUUUGGUCGGCUUUUGCUUUCCCUGGGAGGUUCACGUUUUUAUCAGUGACAAGAUGACAAUUCGUAUUUUUACCAAAGGAUCCAGUGACUCAUCCUAUUAAACUGCUGGGAUACGUGCUUGCCAAUUGUCCUGCCACGUUAGCCAACUG